CCUACGGGUGGCAGCAGUGAGGAAUAUUUGUCAAUGGGCGGGAGCCUGAACCAGCCAAGUCGCGUGAGGGAAGACGGUCCUAUGGAUUGUAAACCUCUUUAGUCGGGGAGCAAUGCCGGGCACGCGUGCCCGGAGGGAGAGUACCCGCAAACUAAGCAUCGGCUAACUCCGUGCCAGAAGCCGCGGUAAUACGGGGGAGGCGAGCGUUAUCCGGAGUUACUGGGUGUAAAGGGCGUGUAGGCGGGAAAGCAAGUCAGAUGUGAAAACCAUGGGCUCAACCUGUGGACUGCAUUUGAAACUGCUUUUCUUGAGUACUGGAGAGGCAGACGGAAUUCCUAGUGUAGCGGUGAAAUGCGUAGAUAUUAGGAGGAACACCAGUGGCGAAGGCGGUCUGCUGGACAGCAACUGACGCUGAGGCGCGAAAGCGUGGGGAGCAAACAGGAUUAGAUACCCCUGUAGUC
This 461-nucleotide ribosomal RNA is filed under the name uncultured bacterium. RNAcentral describes it as "partial 16S ribosomal RNA". It matches the Rfam family "Bacterial small subunit ribosomal RNA", at positions 338 to 795 of the family's 1533-position model. The record is from RNAcentral.